This 296-nucleotide unclassified non-coding RNA is filed under the name uncultured fungus. Its description in RNAcentral is "sequence contains ITS1". The stretch from base 1 to 97 matches the Rfam family "5.8S ribosomal RNA", at positions 50 to 154 of the family's 154-position model. The record is from RNAcentral. Lineage: Eukaryota; Fungi.
GAAGUGCGAUAAGCAAUGCGAAUUGCAGAACCGCGAGUCAUCAGAUUUUUGAACGCAAGUGGCGACAGUUUAGGCUGUCAUGUUUGUUUCAGUGUGUCCGGUUAAUUACAUCAAAGAAUUUAAUGUGAUUGAAGAAAUUCUCUCACAAAAUACGGAACGAUGUCAAUGAAGACUCCAAACGAAAUAGUCACUAAAUGGUGAUAGUCGUUUGAGGAUUGGAAUUGGUGAAUCAUUGUUCUAAAAGAAAUUAUCCAAUUAUGACACCUGAAAUAAGCAAGAGUACCCGCUGAACUUAA